Molecule: unclassified non-coding RNA, 214 nt
Filed under: fungal sp.
Lineage: Eukaryota; Fungi
Description: partial internal transcribed spacer region
Rfam family: Eukaryotic small subunit ribosomal RNA (bases 1-46)
Source: RNAcentral
AAGUCGUAACAAGGUUUCCGUAGGUGAACCUGCGGAAGGAUCAUUACAUUCAGUAGCCUAGCUACUUGUUUACACCCUUGUUUUUGCGUACCUAUUGUUUCCUCGGCGGGCUUGCCCCCCGCUAGGACCCUUUAUCAAACCUUUUUGUAAUAGCAGUCAGCGUCUGAUACUAAGUUAAUUAUUAAAACUUUCAACAAUGGAUCUCUUGGUUCUG